Long non-coding RNA from Rhipicephalus microplus (southern cattle tick), 243 nucleotides. NCBI's taxonomy places the organism in Eukaryota, Metazoa, Arthropoda, Arachnida, Ixodida, Ixodidae. The record is from RefSeq and is a predicted model, not a curated record.
CAACAUGCAGCUUGACCAAGAUGAACUCACACUAACUAGCCAAAACUUCUACACUGUUCCAGCACCUUCAGUGGCACUGCCAGAAGAGAGCCAGAAGACUCCACUGGAAAUUUCAAUUAACAAUAGAUUGCAGAACAUACCGUGAUGUAACACCAAGCCCCUUCCCCCCUGCCCCUCCCCCAAAUGUAUUUUCUUUUGGCGUUGGUUCCCUUAUUGCAAUAAAUAGUGAUGUCACACUUGACA